UAGCUAGUUGGUGAGGUAAAGGCCUACCAAGGCGACGAUCUGUAGCGGGUCUGAGAGGAUGAUCCGCCACACUGGAACUGAGACACGGUCCAGACUCCUACGGGAGGCAGCAGUGGGGAAUUUUGGACAAUGGGGGCAACCCUGAUCCAGCCAUGCCGCGUGAGUGAAGAAGGCCUUCGGGUUGUAAAGCUCUUUCGGCCGGGAAGAAAUCGCAUGGGCCAAUACCCUGUGUGGAUGACGGUACCGGAAUAAGAAGCACCGGCUAACUACGUGCCAGCAGCCGCGGUAAUACGUAGGGUGCGAGCGUUAAUCGGAAUUACUGGGCGUAAAGCGUGCGCAGGCGGUUUUGUAAGACAGGCGUGAAAUCCCCGGGCUUAACCUGGGAACUGCGUUUGUGACUGCAAGGCUAGAGUACGGCAGAGGGGGGUGGAAUUCCACGUGUAGCAGUGAAAUGCGUAGAGAUGUGGAGGAACACCAAUGGCGAAGGCAGCCCCCUGGGUCGAUACUGACGCUCAUGCACGAAAGCGUGGGUAGCAAACAGGAUUAGAUACCCUGGUAGUCCACGCCCUAAACUAUGUCAACUAGGUGUUGGGUGGGUAAAACCAUUUAGUACCGUAGCUAACGCGUGAAGUUGACCGCCUGGGGAGUACGGCCGCAAGGUUAAAACUCAAAGGAAUUGACGGGGACCCGCACAAGCGGUGGAUGAUGUGGAUUAAUUCGAUGCAACGCGAAAAACCUUACCUACCCUUGACAUGCCAGGAACUUGCCAGAGAUGGCUUGGUGCCCGAAAGGGAGCCUGGACACAGGUGCUGCAUGGCUGUCGUCAGCUCGUGUCGUGAGAUGUUGGGUUAAGUCCCGCAACGAGCGCAACCCUUGUCGUUAAUUGCCAUCAUUUAGUUGGGCACUUUAACGAGACUGCCGGUGACAAACCGGAGGAAGGUGGGGAUGACGUCAAGUCCUCACGGCCCUUAUGGGUAGGGCUUCACACGUCAUACAAUGGUCGGUACAAAGGGUUGCCAAGCCGCGAGGCGGAGCCAAUCCCAGAAAGCCGAUCGUAGUCCGGAUUGCAGGCUGCAACUCGCCUGCAUGAAGUCGGAAUCGCUAGUAAUCGUGGAUCAGCAUGUCACGGUGAAUACGUUCCCGGGUCUUGUACACACCGCCCGUCACACCAUGGGAGCGGGUUCCGCCAGAAGUAGGUAGCCUAACCGCAAGGGGGGCGCUUACCACGGCGGGGUUCGUGACUGGGGUGAAGUCGUAACAAGGUAGCCGUAGGGGAACCUGCGGCUG
Molecule: ribosomal RNA, 1287 nt
Filed under: metagenome
Description: bacterial SSU rRNA
Rfam family: Bacterial small subunit ribosomal RNA
Source: RNAcentral